AUUGAACGCUGGCGGCAGGCCUAACACAUGCAAGUCGAACGGUAACAGGAAACAGCUUGCUGUUUCGCUGACGAGUGGCGGACGGGUGAGUAAUGUCUGGGAAACUGCCUGAUGGAGGGGGUAACUACUGGAAACGGUAGCUAAUACCGCAUAACGUCCCAGGACCAAAAAGGGGGAACUUCGGGCCUCUUGCCAUCGGGUGUGCCCAGAUGGGAUUUGCUUGUAGGUGGGGUAACGGCUCACCUAGGCGACGAUCCCUAGCUGGUCUGAGAGGAUGACCAGCCACACUGGAACUGAGACACGGUCCAGACUCCUACGGGAGGCAGCAGUGGGGAAUAUUGCACAAUGGGCGCAAGCCUGAUGCAGCCAUGCCGCGUGUAUGAAGAAGGCCUUCGGGUUGUAAAGUACUUUCAGCGGGGAGGAAGGGAGUAAAGUUAAUACCUUUGCUCAUUGACGUUACCCGCAGAAGAAGCACCGGCUAACUCCGUG
RNAcentral lists this ribosomal RNA (489 nucleotides) under uncultured bacterium. RNAcentral describes it as "partial 16S ribosomal RNA". It matches the Rfam family "Bacterial small subunit ribosomal RNA", at positions 30 to 507 of the family's 1533-position model. The record is from RNAcentral.